This 550-nucleotide ribosomal RNA is filed under the name uncultured bacterium. RNAcentral's name for it is "bacterial SSU rRNA". It matches the Rfam family "Bacterial small subunit ribosomal RNA", at positions 353 to 896 of the family's 1533-position model. The record is from RNAcentral.
AGUGGGGAAUUUUGGACAAUGGGCGCAAGCCUGAUCCAGCCAUGCCGCGUGCAGGAUGAAGGCCUUCGGGUUGUAAACUGCUUUUGUACGGAACGAAAAAGUUCUCUCUAAUACAGGGGGCGAAUGACGGUACCGUAAGAAUAAGCACCGGCUAACUACGUGCCAGCAGCCGCGGUAAUACGUAGGGUGCGAGCGUUAAUCGGAAUUACUGGGCGUAAAGCGUGCGCAGGCGGUUAUAUAAGACAGAUGUGAAAUCCCCGGGCUCAACCUGGGAACUGCAUUAGUGACUGUAUAGCUAGAGUGCGGCAGAGGGGGAUGGAAUUCCGCGUGUAGCAGUGAAAUGCGUAGAUAUGCGGAGGAACACCGAUGGCGAAGGCAAUCCCCUGGGCCUGCACUGACGCUCAUGCACGAAAGCGUGGGGAGCAAACAGGAUUAGAUACCCUGGUAGUCCACGCCCUAAACGAUGUCAACUGGUUGUUGGGCCUUCACUGGCUCAGUAACGAAGCUAACGCGUGAAGUUGACCGCCUGGGGAGUACGGCCGCAAGGUUA